RNAcentral lists this ribosomal RNA (420 nucleotides) under uncultured bacterium. RNAcentral's name for it is "bacterial SSU rRNA". It matches the Rfam family "Bacterial small subunit ribosomal RNA", at positions 355 to 772 of the family's 1533-position model. The record is from RNAcentral.
UAAGGAAUAUUGGUCAAUGGACGCAAGUCUGAACCAGCCAUGCCGCGUGGAGGAUGAAGGUCCUCUGGAUUGUAAACUUCUUUUAUCUGAGAAGAAACCCCAACGUUCUCGUUGGGCUGACGGUACCAGAUGAAUAAGCACCGGCUAACUCCGUGCCAGCAGCCGCGGUAAUACGGAGGGUGCAAGCGUUAUCCGGAUUCACUGGGUUUAAAGGGUGCGUAGGUGGAUUGGUAAGUCCGUGGUGAAAUCCCCGAGCUUAACUCGGGAACUGCCGUGGAUACUAUCAAUCUUGAAUACUGUGGAGGUAAGCGGAAUAUGUCAUGUAGCGGUGAAAUGCUUAGAUAUGACAUAGAACACCGAUAGCGGAGGCAGCUUGCUACACAGUCAUUGACACUGAGGCACGAAAGCGUGGGGAGCAAA